This is a long non-coding RNA of Eurytemora carolleeae, 1273 nucleotides long. RefSeq lists it as uncharacterized. The record is from RefSeq and is a predicted model, not a curated record. The transcript is spliced from 3 exons. Lineage: Eukaryota; Metazoa; Arthropoda; Copepoda; Calanoida; Temoridae.
UAUUGGGUUCUACAGAUUUAAAGAUUAGAGAAUCAAAGUUUGUAACAAACACACAGAUCCUUUAAACCAUUGAUUCAAAAUUUAGGAUUUGAAUCUUUGAUUCAAACGUGAACCUGCGGCGGUUAGCAUUUCAAAUUCACUAAAUUUGGUCAAUAGGAUAAUUCCUGGAAGAGGACCAGCCUGGGUAGAUAAUAUUUGUCUAGGAGUUUACUUCACCAUUAUCUGCGCACUAGCACCUUGGUUCUCAUAUUUCGAUUGGGAAGCUGAAGCCAGUUGCGAACAGUUAUCAAAAUCAGACUUGUUUUCAACCAUAGCCUCCGAUAUCAUUAUUCCUUUGCAACUUGUUUUAACUUUGCCUGCUGUGACCUUUUUGAUGAAGAAUAGCAAGGAUUUUGUGUUUGAACAAAAAUUGCCGAAACAGCAGAGACCAUUACUUUUCCUCGCGGUUGUAACUUCACAGAUCGUUUUUACCGUUUACAACAUCGUUUCAAUGGAACCAUUCUACAGAGAAGGGUAUAAAUUGCUAUUUUUUAUCGGCUUUGGAAUUGUAUUCUCGUUUGUAAGACUCGUAUCUACUUUUUUAAUCGGUGCAAUUGCGUCAUAUCUUCGAGACAAACUAGAUCGUGCAUAUUCUGCAGGAAACCUUGAUCAAGUAAUGGCAGAUUUUACCAGAUUCAAGAAUGGAGUUGAACCCUUGAUAUUUCUAGUUUUUUCAUCUCAAACUAUUCUGCUCAACAUAACUAUCUAUCAAACUAUCACUGGCUAUCUGCCUUAUGCAAUCUUGGCUUGUAAUGAAAUGCUUGAGUUGGCCUAUAUAGCCUAUGUCCUAGAUGAUGUUUAUGUGAGUUUGAAAUCACUAUUAAUUGAUCUGCAAAGUGGUGAUAUUGAAAAUCCAGAAAACUGGAAAAGGCUUAUUUCCUGUAUUCAGGCGGAAGGACCUUUCACAGCUUUCGGAAUGUUUAAUGUUGAAAGAUCUACACUCACCAGUAUUUUUGGAACUAUUCUCACAUAUAUUAUCAUCCUUCUGCAGUUCAAGUAAAGUGACUAAAAAGUCUCACUGAAAAAUCUGGUUCUGAAGCAUCGGGCCGACUUUUAGGUAGUAAGUAAGUAAGACUACACACGAAAAAACAGGACAGUACACCAAAUAAAUUUUCCUUUCAAGUGAUAUAAAUGUGAAUCUCCAACCCCACCAAAUUGCCAAAAGGGAGAGUCCACAAAAGAAGAAAAUGCAGAAUGAAUUUUAACUUUAUCAAUUUAUUUAUUUAUAAUUUUU